Molecule: long non-coding RNA, 5532 nt
Filed under: Vitis vinifera (wine grape)
Lineage: Eukaryota; Viridiplantae; Streptophyta; Magnoliopsida; Vitales; Vitaceae
Description: long non-coding RNA (VVIN_LNC006312)
Source: RNAcentral
GCAUAGUUUUUAGAGAAGACAACAAUGGAAAACAUGGACUUUUCAAUUGCUGUAACAAGUGCUGGCGAUAUUUUCUCGCCUUUGGCAACUUCAUUGGCGUCCAUGAAAGUCUCGAUCCCAUAGUUGCACAGUGCUUCAUAGAGGUGGGCAGUGAAGCCAUUGCGGGUGUCUUUUCCCCUAAAAUUCAAGAAAACAUCGUAGCGCCACUGACAAGAAGAUGCAGCAGCCAUUGCCGGAUCAUGUGCAGAGAGUAGAGACAUGAAAUAGUCGGAGCUCUUAGCAAAUCAACCUGCGAAAGAAAAAGGGUACAAUUGUAAUAAUUCCAAAGACGGAAUUAUAAUGAAAACCGUGAGAGAGGUUGAAGAAGUUAUCUUCGAGUUAGAUCAUGGAAAAGAGAAGAAUUCCUCAAUUUCAUUUCUAGAAGUCUUGGCAAAGGGUUUGCUCUCAAAAGAAAGAAUAGCAGUGGAAGUAUCAGGAAAGACUUGGGAUCCAUUUCAAAGGAAAAAGAAACGAGUAGACAACACGGCAAAACGACCAAGCGCAAGGCCCAAAGAAGUGGAAACCGCGUCCAAUGGUCCGAUAAUUCCAAGAAAAAAGAGAGAAGUGGGCCAUUUACGUCACUUGGGCUAUAAUAAAGAAAAACACAUCAAGGUCCUGUCGUUUUAGAAGGCAAAGUUGUUAGGAAUCACCAAUACAACUUAAAUGUACGUAAUAUGCUUUUUGUGAAUUUGGACUGAGUACUAUAAUAUUGUUGAGAUGGAAUUUAUGUUAACCUACGUAAUCUAUUUCUACUUAAUAAAUAAGUUGUUUUUUAUUCAACCUCUAUGACAAAUUUUUGACCCAAAUCGACCAUUUUAUUAAUCAUGUUGAUUAAAUUUGUUAUAACUAUAACUUAAUCCAUAUUUUGAUCAUUUAAAAUUUGAUUUUGAAUAAAUAAGUUAAUUAAAUCAUAAUUAUGUCAAAUUAGAAAGUUAAUACUUAUAUAAGACUUAACUUGAUCAAAUUAUCAAAUUGGAUCUUAUUAUUAAAUGAAUUUAAUGAGUAAAAUUAAUUAUGUGAUAUUUAGGUUUAUAUUUUUAAUCUGACCUAUUUAAUCAAGUGUCUGACAAGACGCAAACACAACCCAUUAAUAUGAAUUGUCACCCCGGUUAAUCUCCAAUAAUCUAAAUUAAUAAAUUUGAUGUUCUUAUGUUUCGAUAUUGAUUGAAUCAAUGAAUUCUUUAUGAUUCUGUAACUUUUUUGAUGUAAUGAGUGUAUAAGUAGGAAAACAUUUAUAAAUUCAUCAAUCAAUGCUACGUAAAUGAGAAAAUUAAGAAAAAAAAAAAUUAAAGGUUUAAGAAAUGUUGGAUAAAUAACAGACAAACAAAGAAUGAUAUUAUAGCAGGUCAAAUUAUCAAUUUAGAGUAAUUUUGAACUUUCAUGCUAUGGAAAUGGCCCCAGAAGAAGAAAAGUUUGGAUUUUGAGGUGAUUAUCUUAUUUCUUGUGGGUGGGCAUGGCAGGGAAAUAAGGGGUUGUGGGGUUGGGGGGGGGGGCUCUUAUGCUCUGCAAUAUGUGGGAUAUAUAAAUUGGGAAUUACCUCAUGAUUAAAAUGACAUUACUUAUAAAAAUCAGAGUUUUCUUUCUUGCUUUUUACUACCACAAGACUAAGCUUGGAACUUGAUGGAAAAAAAAUCACCUAAAUUCAGGAUCAGGGGUAUCUGGAAAUCUUCCUGUCAUCAAUAUAUGGUCCACUAUUCUUCCAAGUCCAUGUCUAAGAACUGAUCGAUAACCAGCUCUGAAUCCAUCUCCAUAUACUGAAGUAUCCGAUUCAAUCAUGUAUUUCAAGAACUCGCCAAACUUCCUCUCAAACUUAGAUCUCGUGCCCUGUCUUGAUGGAGAUGGAAGUGUCAUGGAUGAUGAGGUUGAUGCAAUAUCACUGCCAUAUCUCGACAUGAGCUCGGUGUUCAACCACAUGUAAGCUAGCACCUGACAGAUACCUCCUUCAGCAUGCUGAGUAAGAGAUCGGCGGCCUUGAAGCUGCAGCCAUACACGCAUCAUCAGGUGAGCUAGGAUUGCCCCAGUCAGCAACCUAGGAAGGCCAUGUAAAAUGCGAAAUGUGGUUAAUUUGAAACCAGGUACCCCUUUGUAGGGCUCCUUGAUCAUGUCUACGAGAGUACUGCUCUUUUCUCUCCCUGUGGAUUCACUUGGUGACUGUCUCUCAACCAAGAGUAAUGGAACUUGCUGCCCCACUACGAUAUUUAAGCUUUCACAGAACCUUUGCACAUUAAGAUACAGGGGCUGGUAUUCAUGAGUGUCCAUGAUUGCAUGGUCUAGAUGAUAAAAUAAACUGAGCAAAAGUAUAACCAGAACAGAGAAACAAUUCCACACUUUAUUUGUACCGAGACAACCAAUAAAUAGGCAAUACAAUCAACUGGCUUGACAAAGCCAUAACAACAAAGGCAUAAAAAUAGGACCAUGAAACCAUGUUUCAAUAAAUCUACUACCACCAUCACCAAAAAUCAGGAGAUAAUAAAGAGACUCAAUAAACAAUUUCCUAUAGACAGGGCAACAUAACAGAUAUAAGACUCAACAUAAAACAAUUUAUUAAAGACUUGGUCAAAUGACCCAUUGCACGAAGAUAUUUUAUCACCAGACACUCCAGGCAGAGCUUGCGUCCAUCUUUAAGAGUUGUAUAUCUUGUGUCCCAUGGCUCCUUUCGCUCACAGCUAAAGCAGGAAGGAGUUCCAUCAUGCUUAUGAGAAGGACAGUACUUCUGGACCCAGAAAGGAUGUUCCCUAUCUUCCAUAAGACAAGCAGGGUUUGCCCAAAAGAAAUGCCCACAAACAUCGCAUUUUUGGCGACACUUUUCCUUGUAGCAAGAUUUAUGAUAAGGUGACUCUCCAGAGAGAAAGAAUUCAUAGUCAGAGAUUGGGUGCUUACAAGCAUGGCAUCUAAAACAUUCUGGAUGCCAAACUUUGCCUAUGCACUUCAGAUAUCGCCUCAGAAUAAUCUCGGUACCGCAACCAGCACAGAUCUUGAACCCGGUCAAAACAGGGAAUGGAAUGGCUUGAUAGAUACUUUCAUUUCCAAAAGGAGGUGGAUAAGUAUAAAUAAGGUCUUCCUGUAUGGAUCUGGAAAGUUGUUCAUUUUCCUCUGACUGAGACUCAUUAUCCAUUAAUUCACUUCUCCAUUUAAGUUUGCUCUUCCUGGAUAGCAAAGAACCGACAUUAAUAUAUUCUAUAACAUGGCUGGAGAGCUUCAUGAAAACUUCUUUGUGAUGAUGUUGUUGAAAGAGCCUGAUAGCAUUUUUCAGACUCAGUUUCUCAGCUUCUCGUAUUUCAUUCACUCCAAACGUAAUUAACAGAUGUUUUCCUCUAGUGGUUAUAAUUAUUCUACUUCCAGGACCAAACUGAGGAUUCUUUCCAGCUAAGAAUUCUAACUGCUCUAAAUUAGCCACAUCAUCCAAAACAAUAAGAACCCUUCUGGAGCGGAGCCUUGCUUUCAUAGAAGAGAACCCUGUGCUGGAACUGGACGCACCUAAUAGCUGGUAAAAAAGCUUCCUAUACAAAUAAGGUAAGCCAUAUUUUUCCGAAUCUUCUCUAACAUUUUCAAGAAAACAGCAACCAUCAAAUUGGCCAGAGAAGUGAUCAAAAACAGCUCUGGCAAGGGUCGUCUUCCCUAUUCCCCCCAUGCCCCAGAUUCCUAUAGUGAGAACAUCUUUCCCAUUUAUGGCCAGCUCGGUGUCCUUUGAGGAUCUGCAAAUCAUGCUAUUCGAAAUAAGUCCAACGAUUUCCUUGAUAAGCAUGGACUCAGGCCUGCCACAUUUGAAGUGCAUGCAAACACGUGGUAAUUAAUUAAUCAGGACUAGCCAUAAAGGAACAACUAAUAAAAAUAGUACUUAGUAUAACAAUAUAUAGAUGUUUUCAUUGCAGCUAUACGUAUAAACACAUUAAGAGCCGGUUUGGGAGUGAAGCUAGCACUUUUUUAUGCUUAAAAGCGAUUCUAGUAAAUGCAAAUUUUACAUUUAGGAAGAUUAAGGUAAUAGAAAAACUAAUCCUCCAGUAGUUUUAAAAGUCGAUAAUCAUAAGGAAAAUGCUUUGUCCAUUCAAAGGUAAUUACACGAGAUUAUGACUUCCAUUUGCGAAUAAUCCUCUUGAACCCUUUUGAAAAGGUAAUUAGAAAAUUUCCCUCUCAUAAAAUGGGGAAAAAAAGGGAAGAAGCCUUUAGAUCAAAUAUACACAAGUAUCUUAAAAAUGAAAGCCACAUGACUUUGUAUGUCGAUCAACUAACCAAAUGCUUGUUGUAAAGCAAAUCAUGAAUCUGUUUCAUGAUAAUUUUAAUAAGCACUUCUAACAUUUUUAGCACUUAAAAAUUUUACUGAAAAGUUGUUUUUAACUGUUACAAAAACUAUAAAUGUUUUUUAAAAUUAUUAUCGAACAAGCUCAAUAUAGGCUUGUUUUUAGCCUUACAAAGGAUUCUAUUAUAUAUAAGAGAAACAAUUUUAUUUAUAACUAAUAUGAGACAAAUAGGAAUGUAAAAAGGCUUUUUAAGAAUUUAUUUAUAGAAACAAUAGUUAAUAAAAAUUAUUAUCUUUGUUCAUAUUGCCAUUGAUAAUGCAAUAAUAAAUCAAAGAGCAUAGUAAUAUCAAAUAGAAAUUCAAAAACAUAUACGAUAAAAGUGAGAAAUUUUGUAGAACUUUGACUGACUUAAUGGUUCCAAAAGUAAAAUCCAAAAGAGAAUAUUGAAAGGGAAUCCUGACCCACCUUUGUUUCUCUAGCUAUAAUUAUAAAUAAAUGUUUGAAUUCCCCCAUUUUAGGAAGUAAAGUUGCUCAAUAGCUUCUCAACAAAUUCAGAAAAAUUCAGUACCCCACCAAAAUAUUUCACAGAUUACAUUAGUUCUUCUUACCUUUAAUUCCUCCAUGAAUUAAUUAUCAAAAGUAAUCUCCCAACAAACAAUAUUUCAAAAGAAAAAAACCCCAAGGUUGAGAAGAUUUAGCUUUAGCAUUACUGAGUAUAGAAAGGUUACCUAUGCCUGGAAUCCCAGCCGGAUAAACUGGCAACUUCAGUGAGAGCCUCCUUCCAAAUCUGCACUCUCACCAUCUCCUUCAACUUCUGUUCAUGUUUAGCAAAGGCUUUUGCGAAACUCCCUUUCUGUCGUCGUACAUCAGAAGGAUCCACCUGGUAGAAGAUGGGUAAAACUGUUUGUCCCAUGGUGUUUUUGCAGUCGAGGAUCUUCACAAGCUCCUCCAAGCACCAUGUGGAAGAAGCAUAGUUUUUAGAGAGAACAACAAUGGAAAACAUGGACUUUUCAAUUGCUGUAACAAGUGCUGGCGAUAUUUUCUCGCCUUUGGCAACUCCGUCGGCGUCCAUGAAAGUCUUGAUUCCAUAAUUGUGCAGUGCUUCAUAGAGGUGGGCAGUGAAGCCAUUGCGGGUGUCUUUUCCCCUAAAAUUCAAGAAAACAUCGUAGCUCCGCUGACAAGAAGAAGAUGCAACAACGAUGGCCGGAUCGUGUACAGAGACUAGAGACAUGUCGUAGCUCUUUGCAAAUCAGCC